GACGAACGCUGGCGGCAUGCCUAACACAUGCAAGUCGAACGAGACCUUCGGGUCUAGUGGCGCACGGGUGCGUAACGCGUGGGAACCUGCCCUUAGGUUCGGAAUAACUCCCCGAAAGGGGUGCUAAUACCGGAUAAUGUCUUCGGACCAAAGAUUUAUCGCCUUUGGAUGGGCCCGCGUUGGAUUAGCUAGUUGGUAGGGUAAAAGCCUACCAAGGCGACGAUCCAUAGCUGGUCUGAGGGGAUGAUCAGCCACACUGGGACUGAGACACGGCCCAGACUCCUACGGGAGGCAGCAGUGGGGAAUAUUGGACAAUGGGCGAAAGCCUGAUCCAGCAAUGCCGCGUGAGUGAUGAAGGCCUUAGGGUUGUAAAGCUCUUUUACCCGGGAUGAUAAUGACAGUACCGGGAGAAUAAGCUCCGGCUAACUCCGUG
Molecule: ribosomal RNA, 433 nt
Filed under: uncultured bacterium
Lineage: Bacteria
Description: partial 16S ribosomal RNA
Rfam family: Bacterial small subunit ribosomal RNA
Source: RNAcentral